RNAcentral lists this ribosomal RNA (301 nucleotides) under uncultured bacterium. RNAcentral's name for it is "partial 16S ribosomal RNA". It matches the Rfam family "Bacterial small subunit ribosomal RNA", at positions 509 to 807 of the family's 1533-position model. The record is from RNAcentral.
CAGUCGCCGCGGUAAUACGAAGGGUGCAAGCGUUACUCGGAAUUACUGGGCGUAAAGCGUGCGUAGGUGGUGGUUUAAGUCCGUUGUGAAAGCCCUGGGCUCAACCUGGGAAUUGCAGUGGAUACUGGGUCACUAGAGUGUGGUAGAGGAUAGUGGAAUUUCCGGUGUAGCAGUGAAAUGCGUAGAGAUCGGAAGGAACAUCUGUGGCGAAGGCGACUAUCUGGGCCAACACUGACACUGAGGCGCGAAAGCGUGGGGAGCAAACAGGAUUAGAUACCCCAGUAGUCCCUGUCUCUUAUAC